CCUUUAGCAAUUUGCAGAAGCGGACGAAAACUCUGCCAUCGUCCCCGUCCCCACGUUUAGCUGCGAAAAUUGUUAUAUGGCCAAUGAAAAAUCAGCACAAUAGAUCCCAUGCCACGACCUCGCAGUCGCCGACGUGCUGCGCUACCACGUCCUCCUGGAGUACAUCUCCCCGUCCGACCACGCCCGCAUCCCGGCGUGAGGGAUGCUCCCGCCGCGGGCAGAGGCGGCAGCUCCGCUGUCGUGGUCCGCUCGCCGCUCCUUGCCCCCCUCCUCCCCGCCCCCGCGCGCCCCGAUCUGGCGACGAGAAGAUGUGAAGGCGGAAGAGAGAUCAAGGCCAACCUCCAACCCCUUAGAGUAAGAUCUGCCGCCGCGACCUGAUGUUUGGCGCUUCCCACUCCGUCACCCCGGGAGUCGUCGCGUGAACAAUCUCCGAGCACCUAGCCACUUGAGGCUGAAACAACGUGGAUGGAGACCGGCGAGAGGUAGAGGAGGAGGUCGGAGGGUGGGUCAACCUGUUGUAUUGACCGGACGCGCCCGUCGGUGCGGCGGAGCUCUUCCGUUGAUUCAGCGAAGGGAGGUGGGCAAGCGGCACAUUGAAUCCCGUCCUGACAUCCAUCAGCACUGGCCAAUACGACCGGCCAGCCGCAUCAUCGAUGGCUAAUCAUCGGAACUAUGAGAAAGUAGGCCAUUGUUUACAAACUCAAGGAUUCAGUGAUGUUGAAGCUAAAAGCUGGACUUCACUGCCCUCUGCUCCUCAAUUCAGCCGCCGUUGCCCGCUGCUCCUCAAUUCAGCCGCUGCUGCCGCCACGUUGAGGCCCUCGCCACUAAGCCGGUGAACUUGGAUCAGGUGUGAACUUUGAUCAUGUUUUUCUUUACCUUAACAUCAAGCCGUCGGCUGGGUUUAGGAAGGUAGCUCACGGGACAAACAUUGGUGGCUCACACUCAAUUAUUAAGAGCACCAUAAUUGGAAAAUAUGCACUUGCUAAAACAAAAUUAAUAAUGACAAAAACUAUGAACAUCAGUCAAAGUUCAUGGUCAGAUUCCUCAUCACAGAUUUGGGUCAAAAGUCAAAAAUGCAAGGGAGUAACAACAAAAAAACACGACUUCAAUUGUGCUCCUGUUGGUUAAUAUACCGAGUAAAAAUAAAUAGAACAACCUAUAAUAUAGAGCUUAUGUGCUUUGCACGAAACUGAAUGCAUGGCACUGAACAUAUCUCUAAUCUAUUAUAUGUUAUAUAAGAAAGCACAUAAUUGGGAGGACUGAAAUCCAGCUUGGUUAAACGAAAUAAAUUGGCAACAUAAUUUGGGAGGUGCCUAUCUUUUGUAGCAACGAAGUAAGAUAGUCGACAAGUUCUGGAUCAACAAGACCCUGAGCAUGUCUUGACCCCUAAAUGGAUUACUGCAAGCCUUACUCAAAUGAUAAUAAUAAAAGGUAGACUCGGCUCCUCCACUCAUGCUUCUCUGAAUACAAUGUAAAUUUCAGAACAUGGCUCUCUGAAUUUCUACAACCUAAAUUUAGUACAUGCUUCUUUGAAUGUUGGCCAGCCAAUCGGUACUGUAUUGCAGACUUCAGAGAAUUGUAUGCAUGCCCUUUAUGCCAAUGGAUUACUGCAUUUUUAUGUUAGGUUUUACACUAUUUGAAUGUAAGGACUAUAUAGUAUCUCUUUGGCAAUCUAUGGCAAGUCAUUUUCUGCACAUAAAAUUCAGUGCAUGCUUCUCUGAAUAUCUGCAAUACAAGUGAGCAAAAUUCGUUCUUACAUGUUGUCCUGCCAAUUGGUAUUGGCAGCCUUGCAUACAUGUUUUUAAAAUGCUUAAUCCAAGUGCCACUUCUGUACUAAAUAAGCUGAACUUUAUUUUAUAAAUAACUAAAUGUUGGUUUGCUGACGUCUUCUUGUGAUUGAAUUCUGGAACUUACAUUGUCCGUUUGCAACAUUACAUACGGCCAUGCUUUGCAAGACGUUCUAUAUAUAGGCUCUUUUGUACGUGAUAAAAAAAUUUGGACACAUAUUUGUUACUCCCUCCGUCCCAUAUUUGUCAAAAACGCUCUUAUAUUAUGGGACGGAGGGAGUAGAACUAUGAGUUCACCAUAUACUAUGAAAAUUCAUCAACUUGGGAUUAUGAAUCAUGUUUGUUUUUUGGAGAACCAUGUACUGAUUUAGAUAAAACCUCAUUAGCGAGAAAUAUUUGACUCGUAGGGAGCUACUGUAGUUUUUCCUGCUUUUCCAAUUAUUCUGUUGUUACUUCGUUCAUAGCUAUGGAAUGGAUCCUUCUACCAUUGCCAGUUCAGCUAUACCAGGUACACUCUGAUGCUUGUUCAUGGAAUUUUGGUAACAAUAUGAACUGUGAUAUGUUCUGAAACAUAAACUGAGAGGCAAACUUAUAUUAUGUUUAACAGGUUUGGCUGUUGUUCCUCUAUACAACUUUAUCUUUUAGUAUCGACCAAUACCUCAUAUCCCAUUUGAAGGGAAUAUUGUGAUGCUCUAGGACUUUAUGUUAUUUUACCAUACAAUCCGAUAAAAAUGAUGCUCUUCUUCAAUGCCUGUCUAUCCACCUCCGACGUGUUGUUUGUUGGCUGUUCUUGUUAUGCUUUUUUCUGUUCGUUUCAAAGUUAUUAACUCAUUAGGCAUAUAAGUACCAAUAAUGCAAGUUUUUUUGGGUCAUUUGGAACUUAGCAAAAGUUCAUUUUAUUCUAAAGGUGAGUAUGGAAUCAUCCGACAUCCUGGUGGCUCUUGUAAGUCUCAAAUGGGAGAUUAAGGGACAAGUUGAUUGUUCACACAAGGUAGGUGUACUUUUAGGCCUCUGGUUUGUUCUAAACAUGUAAGUUCGGGCUUAGCCUAUACUCUUUUCACAGAGAGUUGCCGAGUUGUUUCUGUGCCAGGCUGUGAUGCAAGGUUUUGCCAUGUUGCUGAAAAGAUAUCAAUGUCGAAGACUAUAUACAACUUUGUAGUCGUCUGCUCAAAUUUUAGUCAAAAUAGAUAUUUGUAAGUUGAAAAUUUAUUUUUGGCAGGCUAAAAUAAUGGAGGUUGUGUGGGAAGAGAUUGUUGUUGUUUAAGGCUAACUAUUGUUGUUCUGUCACUUCCCCUUUCUCUUGCUGGUAUGUGGUUAUCCAUAUGAUAGCUGGGAUUGAAUAUGCAACAUGCAACUACCUUGUCUUCAUAAUUCACUAUUCAUCUUGAUACAUGAUGAUAUACUCAAAUUUUUGUUUUACUUGGAUAAUAGUACCUGUCAUUUUAUUUAGAAUAGUAGCAGGCCAUUUAUUUAGAAUACUACUAGGUCAUUUAUUUAAUUUAAUGCGUACAUUACAGUAUUCCUUUGAAUGCUAGCCAAACUUGUAGGUGAGUUAGAAACCUACUUCUAAGUUCUGGGAUGUCCGCCAAGCAACCAAACUUGUGUUGGGAGUGUCAUUCUGGUUGGCCUUCCACCAGAAGAAAAUCGCCAUGGACACCCCAAGUCGGUUGUUCCUCUACUCCAUAGAGAUGUGUCACUCACCGCCGUUGGCACUUAACUAACGACGGCGUCAAAAUAGAAAGAUGAAAAGUUGGACUUGUAAGAGAAUAGUCAUAUUACUACAAUAGAUGUAGAUCUUGAGCAUAUCGAAAGAUUAAAUUGUAAUUUGUAACAGGAAUGCAAUAGCAUUUUGG
This 3640-nucleotide ribosomal RNA is filed under the name Triticum aestivum (bread wheat). Its description in RNAcentral is "partial small subunit ribosomal RNA". Lineage: Eukaryota; Viridiplantae; Streptophyta; Magnoliopsida; Poales; Poaceae. The record is from RNAcentral.